CGUGUAGGCGGCCAGGUAGGUCUGCUGUGAAAACUCGAGGCUCAACCUCGAGAUGUCGGCAGAAACCAUCUGGCUAGAGUCCGGAAGAGGAGAGCGGAAUUCCUGGUGUAGCGGUGAAAUGCGCAGAUAUCAGGAAGAACACCCGUGGCGAAGGCGGCUCUCUGGGACGGUACUGACGCUGAGACGCGAAAGCGUGGGGAGCGAACA
Molecule: ribosomal RNA, 207 nt
Filed under: uncultured bacterium
Lineage: Bacteria
Description: partial 16S ribosomal RNA
Rfam family: Bacterial small subunit ribosomal RNA
Source: RNAcentral